This 254-nucleotide ribosomal RNA is filed under the name uncultured bacterium. Its description in RNAcentral is "partial 16S ribosomal RNA". It matches the Rfam family "Bacterial small subunit ribosomal RNA", at positions 524 to 776 of the family's 1533-position model. The record is from RNAcentral.
UACGAACCGUGCGAACGUUAUUCGGAAUCACUGGGCUUAAAGCGCGUGUAGGCGGGCCGGCACGUCGGUCGCUGAAAUCCCCCGGCUCAACCGGGGAAGGGGCGCCGAUACGACCGGCCUGGAGGGGCGUAGGGGGACCGGGAACUUCCGGUGGAGCGGUGAAAUGCGUUGAGAUCGGAAGGAACGCCCGUGGCGAAAGCGCGGUCCUGGACGCCUGCUGACGCUGAGACGCGAAAGCCAGGGGAGCGAACGGG